UACGUAGGGUGCGCGCGUUGUCCGGAAUUAUUGGGCGUAAAGAGCUUGUAGGCGGUUUGUCGCGUCUGCUGUGAAAAUCCGGGGCUCAACCCCGGACUUGCAGUGGGUACGGGCAGACUAGAGUGUGGUAGGGGAGACUGGAAUUCCUGGUGUAGCGGUGAAAUGCGCAGAUAUCAGGAGGAACACCGAUGGCGAAGGCAGGUCUCUGGGCCACUACUGACGCUGAGAAGCGAAAGCAUGGGGAGCGAACAGG
RNAcentral lists this ribosomal RNA (253 nucleotides) under uncultured bacterium. RNAcentral's name for it is "partial 16S ribosomal RNA". It matches the Rfam family "Bacterial small subunit ribosomal RNA", at positions 524 to 776 of the family's 1533-position model. The record is from RNAcentral.